Molecule: long non-coding RNA, 1961 nt
Organism: Sitophilus oryzae (rice weevil)
Lineage: Eukaryota; Metazoa; Arthropoda; Insecta; Coleoptera; Curculionidae
Exons: 12
Source: RefSeq, a predicted model, not a curated record
UUUUUUAUAAAAUAAAUAUUAUUUUAUUUGUUAUUAUUUAAUAAUGUAUGUGGAACAACUGGAAAUGGAUUGAAAAAAUACUAAAAAUUAGAAAGUUUUGACGAUAUAUAUAGUUAAAAUACCUUGAAGAAAUUUUGUUAUUAACCGUUCGAAUAAAAUUAAUGUCUACAUUGUAUCAUAUUGAAGUAUUACUUUUUAUGGCUAAAGAGGAGGCAUUUGAUAAAAAUCGAGAAGAAUCUAGUCGAGACAGAAGAAAAACAUUGUGGUGAAGAUCUAAUUGAGACAAAAAAAGGGUGUGAUAGUAAUAUUCAGAUUUUAUUAAUAAUGAACAAUAUAAAGCUGUAUUUCUAAUUUUAUCAAAAAUAGGUAUAUGGUCAAAAUAUGAAAAAAAUUAGAUUUAGAUAAUUUUCAAAAUGAAGUAAAAAUUUUAUCAAAAAUAGAUAUAUUAAGGUAAAAGAAGAUAAUUGUUAAUUUGUUCAUGGAAGAAUAGCUGAAGGGCAUAUCUGUUACUUGUCUAAUUUGAUCAAUUCAUUUUAAUUGCGAUGCCGAUGAAUUUAUUGAAUAUUAUCAGUUAUAACAUGGAAGGAAUUAUAUAUAAUAUUAGUAAAUCUUCUUUCUAUAUUUGUUUAAAAUAUUUAAAGAUAUGUUUUAAACAGAUGACAUUGGAUGUUUGAUAAUAAAUACAGAAAACUAUAAAAAUAUUUUAAUUUUAUAAAUACGGAAUAAAUGGAAAUGGAUUGACAUAAUUCAAAGGAUUAAAAAUCAAGAAAGUUUUGCUGAUAAUAGUUAAGUUUUGUUAAUAAUAAACGAUAUGUAGAUGUUCAGCUGAUAUAGAAUUACAAAAUUUAUAGUUCUAUUAUAGAUAUAUUUAGUUAAAAUAUCACAAAAAAGUGUUGUCAUUAACUGUUUAAAUAUAUAUGAUGUAUGGUAUUGAGAUGUUACUUUGUAUUAAUAAAGAAGAGGAACUUAAUAAAAAAGAGAAAAAAAUCAAUGAAGAUUUAGUCGAAGUAGAAGAAAAAUAUUGUAAUGAAGAUUUAAUCGAGACAAAAAUAAAGUUGAUAGUUUGUGAUGUCACAUUUUAUUAAUAGUUUUAUUAAAGUAAUAUUCACUCAAAACAUUACAAAAUAAUGUAGGUACAGUAGUUUCUAAAAUGAAGCAAAAAUAUUAUGGAAAUUAAAUAUAUUAUGGUAAAAGAAGAUAAUUAUUAAUUUAUGCAUGGAUGGAAAGCUGAAAGGUGGAUUAGUUGUUUAUUUAACGUGAUCGAUUAAUUUAAAUAUAGAAGGGGAUGAAUUUUUACGGAUAUAGAUAUAAUCAGUUAUAAUAUGGAAGAAGAAUUAUGUAUGUUAUUAGCAAAUUUUCAAUCAAUUUGUUUACUUUUAAAUAAAUUAAUGAUAUUGGAUGCUUGAUAUAGAGGAAACUGUAAAUACAUUGUAAUUUUUUAAAAUAUGACAAUACAAGAACAUUUAUAUCGGAAGAGAAAUUGGAAAUUACUUUUAUUAAAAAAUAUGGAAAAUGGAUGUUUUAUAAUGAAUUUUGGAUUAAAAGAAGAAAUUAAUGUUAUUUAAUAGAAAAAAUAUGUAAAUAUUUACCGUGUUUAUUGAAUACAUUUUAGUGAUAAAUUUAGGGAAGUAGUAAUAAGGGGAGGAAAAUAUUGAGUAGAAAUUAAGUCAUAUUUUAAUAUUAUAUGGAUACAUAAUGAUUGUAGUAUACUAUAAUAGUUGAAAAAAAAAUGACUCAACAUUAAAAUGACUUUUAAAGGAAAAAAAGGAUAGCAAUUACUAUAAUUAUAUGUAGAUCAAGGAGAUAUAGAAGAAUCAAGAAGAUAUAGAAAUUUUAAAAUAACAAGAGAAUCAAAUAUAUAGUAAUAGAGAGAUGAGGAAAUAUUAUAUUUAUAAAUGUAUUAGAAUGGAUCAUAAUAUAGUAAUUGGAUUAUAAUAAAUAUGAAAUGAUAAAGUGAUACU